Molecule: long non-coding RNA, 699 nt
Organism: Brassica oleracea var. oleracea
Lineage: Eukaryota; Viridiplantae; Streptophyta; Magnoliopsida; Brassicales; Brassicaceae
Exons: 4
Source: RefSeq, a predicted model, not a curated record
AAAGGAGAGAUAAUUGUUUUGUCCAGACGUUUCUUUUUUGGUAAAAAAAUCAGAUUAGUUCUCCUCUGAAAUGACGAUUGAGAUGGCGAUUCAAAGCUCCAAAAAACACAAAUCCAUGGUGGUAAUGAUGGAAUCAAGGUUGCUUGAAGGGGUGAACACAUUCUGUAGCAAAUCAAAGAUCAACCGAUUAUUCUGAUUUGGAUCUAAGUCAAACCGACGAUUCAGCAGGCGGAACACCUCUCAAGAUUUACCGAUCUACAUAUUUAGAUCGAAGAAAUCUUUGAGAAAGAACCAUGAUUUUGAGAUGAUUGUCGAUAUUUGAAAGACAACAAAACGUGAGAUUGGAAUGACUUCGAAGCGUCUGAAGAAUAUCUGAAGCUGUCAAAAUGGAACGUUUUAAAAUCGAUUCGAAAAAAAAUUGGAAACAAAGCGUCGUGCGUUGGCAUCUUUAGAAACAGAGCUGUAUUGGAUACUUCUGGAUGACAUGGGACAGAUAUAAAACACUCCAUCAAUACAAGUGCAUAUUAAAAGCUUAAAUUGGUAGUGAUUAGGCUUGGAACUGAAACUGGUAGUUAGGAAACAAACCCGUAGAUUGUUUGAUGAAUGUUGAUUGAAGUCUGGUCUUUUUUUAUGUCAAUUUGUUAGAAGUGCUUGAUAAUAGUGUUCAUAUUCCAACGAAAUCCUUUUGCAAUAAAAAAA